CUGUGCUCACUUCAGCACCAGGCGUUCUGAAAUUGGAACAAUGUAGACAUUAGUGAUGCCCCUGUACAAGGGUGACAUGCAAACUCAUGAAGUGUUCCAAAUUGUU
Small nuclear RNA from Ochotona curzoniae (black-lipped pika), 106 nucleotides. Lineage: Eukaryota; Metazoa; Chordata; Mammalia; Lagomorpha; Ochotonidae. The record is from RefSeq and is a predicted model, not a curated record.